CGGAAAGAGGUAGUCGAGUGGGGAAAGGGAAAACAAAGUAAUUAUAUAUAUAUAUAUAUAUAUAUCUAAUGUAUUCAUCUUUAUGUCUAGGAAUUUUCUUUCCUUUUUUCUUUUGUGAAAAGUUAUAAACGAAGCAGAGAAGAUGGUUGGAUUUCAUAUUGAAAGUUGCUGCUUUAUUCUUUUCAAAAUUAUAUUCUGCUCGGCAUUUGUUAUUGGUCCUAUUGCCUUUAUUCAAUUUUGGUGUUGAUUUCCAAUUUUCAUCGACCCAUUAUAAUUUAUAUAUGGCAGAAUCUUGUGUUUCAAAAGCUUCUACUGAUAAGACACAAUCUGCCAUAUAUAUGUGAGGGAGGGGUUUGGUUUGGCAAAAUAUUUUUUAUGCUUAUCCAAAAAUGUGUCUGGGUCUGAGGCACUGAGAGGGUGAAGAGGUAGAGUCCAUAUUCCUUCCCCCUUUUUUUUUUAUUUUAUAAAAAGUUAAGUUGUCUGCCACUUAUUUACACUCUUUUCAUUUUU
RNAcentral lists this long non-coding RNA (510 nucleotides) under Carica papaya (papaya). Its description in RNAcentral is "long non-coding RNA (CPAP_LNC014498)". The record is from RNAcentral. Lineage: Eukaryota; Viridiplantae; Streptophyta; Magnoliopsida; Brassicales; Caricaceae.